Macleaya cordata is the source of this 90-nucleotide transfer RNA. It matches the Rfam family "tRNA". Rfam says of the family: Transfer RNA (tRNA) molecules are approximately 80 nucleotides in length. Their secondary structure includes four short double-helical elements and three loops (D, anti-codon, and T loops). Lineage: Eukaryota; Viridiplantae; Streptophyta; Magnoliopsida; Ranunculales; Papaveraceae. The record is from Rfam.
GCGCAUCUAUUGUAGUGGUAGCAUAAUACUUUUCUAAGUUUGUACACAGAUAUUCAGGUACUGGCCAAAGUUCAAAUCCCUGGAUACGCA